GAACUUUUUUGAUGACAAAUAUAACCCUUGUAUAGAACCUAGAGUACUAAUUUGUUGGUAGUUCAUUUAUUCAUUCUUCUAUCGGCGAUGAAACCUACCACGAAGAGCCAGAAAUCUUCCAUGUCUCUUUAAUCUGGAACGGAAGCGAAGAGAAAUCUUGUAUAUCUUCAUAUAUUCAUCGAUUUUCUUAUCUUAAAUCGUUAUUCUCAUUCAGUUUACAUAAAUCUAGAUUCUCGGUGUUAAUGAAGUUCGCUGAAAUGAAAAUCCCAGGAGCAAGUUUAGUUAUCACUAAGUGAUGGAGAUAAACGAAGAAGAUAUGAUUGAAUCUCUUAAUAAACUAAGGCUUCAGAAAGUUUAUAAGUGUUACCUUACAUGGAGAAAUCGUGCAGAUUGUGCAGUUGUAGUGCAGGAGCUUUGGUGGGAUAUUGGACUUUGCCAAGUGGUAUCCUUUUUCAACAUUGAGAAAACAGAAACAAUUGUUUCUUGAUGGGAACGGGUAUGGACAAAGGGUACUGCAGGUCGACGAAGUAGCUUGUUGGUUGAUUAAGAAGGUACUCAUUUUUGUUAAGGUCAUAGGAUGAUGCGGUUGAUCUUGUUGUACGAUGGACGUGGAUUGUAGCGCAAGAUCUGCUUGCUAGUAUCUCUACUAUAACACCACUCCUUGAAGCUUUUACUAGUCAAAAUAACGUUGCAUUGGAGUGUGGGAUUCUCAAUUGAUAAGAAAGUUUGUUAAUGGCAUAGAUGGAGACAGUGGCUUCACCGCUGUUUGUGGAGGAUAACAUGUCCCAGUAUGAUGAUAUGGACUACAUGGGGGGUGAUUAUGAAAUGGAUGAUGUAGAAGACGACAUGGAUGAAGAAUUCCACGGUAGAGGUUUGGGUGAUUCCGAGUCUAAUGAGGAUGAUGAUGACCAAUUGGCAAUUGAUGCUAUUGAUGAUACGGAUAUUCCUCCAAGAUAUGUGAAUAACAUAGGUCUUUCUGCAAGAGUUGGAAGGCUUAAUGUGGACUAGGUCGAUCCUGAUCAGUCAUCUGAAUGAGGCUUUCAUCGUGCAAUGGCUCUUGCUGGUGGUGAAUUUUUAGAGGUUAGAUUUUUCUUUGUUAGCUCUGUAUAUGAAUAUUUGUGAUUUUAGUUUCCACUUCUGCUGAAAAUAUGCUGUCAGCAAGCAAGCGAAGGGUUGUGAGGCAGAGAAGGAGAGUUUUACUUGAUAAACUUACCCGAAACACAAGUGUACAAAUUAGUGUACCUCUAAUACAAGUGUACAUAUUGGUGCACCUGUAAUAAGAUGAAUGCAGGUGGAUUUCACUGCCAUUUCAUCUCAGAAACAAGCCUUUUGUAGGAACUGAGAUGGUGGAUUUCACUGCCAAUUUCAUCCUAGAAAGAAGCCUAUUUUAUGUUUCAUUGACCAAACCCAAAAUAAACAUACCUAUCAUUUUUAGUAAACUCUAAAUAGCAAAUAUGCAUAUCUUUGUGAAACAGAUGAGUGCAUAGUUCUAUAAGAGCCCGCAACUAGUAUUAUGAAGGUGCCUUUGUAUUGUGAAAUUGUUAAAAUAAGUUUGGGUUUCUUUGAAUUUGUUUGUUUUGGGGACUAGUUUGAUUACUUUAUUUGUUAUGAAGAGGGAAGAAAUGUUAUAACUGGUUCAGUGGGGUAAGAUGUAAGAACUCAUUUGGAACAAAUGCAAACACACAGACUUUUCCCAUGAUUAGACCGAGUAACUCAUGCGAAGGUGGCAGCAGAGUUAGAGCUGCAGUUGUUUCUGGGGAUGAGCAUGCUAAAUUAUCAGGAGCAUUUCAGACACUGGCAACAGAUAUGCUUCCUACAAUUGAUGAUUUCUGUAUGCAUGUUGGGACAUAGAAUGUUCUAGAAUUCUAUGUAUAGAAUGUCUUGUAUUCUAAGUUAAGUGUACGUACACGGAAAGUCUUCUUAGAGUCUGUAUAUAUAUCUGUUCUCCUUG
Long non-coding RNA from Papaver somniferum (opium poppy), 1951 nucleotides. RefSeq lists it as uncharacterized. NCBI's taxonomy places the organism in Eukaryota, Viridiplantae, Streptophyta, Magnoliopsida, Ranunculales, Papaveraceae. The record is from RefSeq and is a predicted model, not a curated record. The transcript is spliced from 6 exons.